GGAAGCGUGGCCGAGCGGUUUAAGGCAGCGCACUUGAAAUGCGCCGAACGCGCGAGCGUUCCGUGGGUUCGAAUCCCACCGCUUCCUCCA
Molecule: transfer RNA, 90 nt
Filed under: Pseudoxanthomonas broegbernensis
Lineage: Bacteria; Pseudomonadati; Pseudomonadota; Gammaproteobacteria; Lysobacterales; Lysobacteraceae
Description: tRNA-Ser
Rfam family: tRNA
About the family: Transfer RNA (tRNA) molecules are approximately 80 nucleotides in length.
Source: RNAcentral